Molecule: unclassified non-coding RNA, 862 nt
Filed under: Hevea brasiliensis (rubber tree)
Lineage: Eukaryota; Viridiplantae; Streptophyta; Magnoliopsida; Malpighiales; Euphorbiaceae
Source: RNAcentral
GGAAAAUGGAUACUAACUGCUUGUAAAAGCGAAAAAUAUUUCUGAUAGAUAAUAUUCCAAUCAAGGAGAACUAACUCAGGAAAACAAAGUUCAGUAUUGCUAAUUACAAUCACAAAAGUAUCCUAAUUACAGAACAAAAUGCUCCUAUAAAACCAUGUAACGGGUGUUUUCCCAUGGUAUGGUUGAAAUCUCUGAAUGCUAGUGUUAUAGAUGGAGAUUUGAGAGGCAAGAAGAAAUGCUCGAUCUGUAAAUUUCCACUCACAAGAUGCAAUUUCAAGCUGUAAUUUUUCCAAUCUGGAAAGCUAUAGACAUCCUUUUGCGAGUGCUAAAAACAUAAGAAGAUAAUGAAUAUUGGGAGGGGUGAAAAAGGGUUCUGAACUGCAAGGCACAUGCAAAAAACUGAACCUGCUAACAGUAGGACCAGCCACGGUCCGCUUCCAAUUCCAGGGCUUUCAGUUCCAGUCCUGGUGGAUGGAUGCUGUUUUGAUCAAAGAUCAAAUCCAAAAAUCCAAAAAAAAAUCAAAUUUUCUUUUUUAAAGGUAAAUUUAAGUUUUGGCCUAUACCAUACUGGUCAGUUACGGUCUAGCUCAAAUACGGUUCCAAUCAAUCCGGGUUAGACAGGUCUGGUUCCGAUCCGGACCAUGGCUGGGUCUAGCUAAAAGUAUUCUGUAAUUAUGUAACAUCUGUGACUUCCAGGGAAGAAAUCCCAUGCCUCUUAUCUCUAUACUCCUCCCUUGAUUUCACUUUAAUCAGAAUGCCGCACUGUUAAAAAAAAAAAAGUAAAAAAUGAAGAGCAACACAGAAUUAGUACAAAUGUCACUUGCAAGUUAAAAUAAUUAAUCUUCCUUCUGCUUUUUUGAUG